RNAcentral lists this ribosomal RNA (173 nucleotides) under Metabacillus idriensis. RNAcentral's name for it is "partial 16S ribosomal RNA". It matches the Rfam family "Bacterial small subunit ribosomal RNA", at positions 1 to 170 of the family's 1533-position model. Lineage: Bacteria; Bacillati; Bacillota; Bacilli; Caryophanales; Bacillaceae. The record is from RNAcentral.
UCUUCGGAGAGUUUGAUCCUGGCUCAGGACGAACGCUGGCGGCGUGCCUAAUACAUGCAAGUCGAGCGGACUUGCUGGAGCUUGCUCCAGCAGGUUAGCGGCGGACGGGUGAGUAACACGUGGGCAACCUGCCUGUAAGACUGGGAUAACUCCGGGAAACCGGAGCUAAUACC